Molecule: long non-coding RNA, 879 nt
Filed under: Marmota monax (woodchuck)
Lineage: Eukaryota; Metazoa; Chordata; Mammalia; Rodentia; Sciuridae
Source: RNAcentral
UUUCAAUGUUUGUUGCAUCUACAUAGAAAUACAAUUGGUAUUUAAAAUCAAAGAUCUUGUUAAGCUUAGUAGCUUUUUUUGCAGGGUCUUUAGAAUUUUCUGUGUAUAUACUUACAUUGUCUGAACAAAGACCAUUUUACUUUUUUAAAAAAGAGAUUUCCCAGGGCCCAAUAUAGAGAGACAAGAUGAUGAGAAAUAUGAGUGGUUAAGAUACAAGACAUACAAAGGAUGUCUAAUCCAAGUUCCAGAAGGAGAAAAGGGAGAAUGCAAUAUUGAAAAGAUAUUGAUGAAAGAUACCUGUCUAUAAAUUUUAGAAUCCCAAAUUCCAGUUUAUCUAAAUCCCAAGUUUGGCCAAAAAGAAAUCACAGCAGAUGCCAAACACGGAGGAGGCAGAUGACCUUCAAAGGAGAAACAAGCUUGUGGGUGACUUCCCAGCCACAAGGAGGCCAGACGGGGCGGAACACCUUCCAUGUACAUCAAAAACUUUGUCAACCUAGAAUCCUGUACCCUGCAACAAAUGUCCUUCAGGAAAAGAGAUAAAAUAAAGACUCCAACAACAAGUGAGAGAGUUGGACAUCAAAAGACCUUUAUCAGACAAAUAUUUAAAAGAUUGUUUCAGGCACAAGGAAACUGAUCCCAGAAGGAAGCUUGCUAUUUAGAAAUAAAGGAAAGAAACAUAAACAAGCUGACUGAUCUAAACAGACAUGGGUUGUAUAAAACAUUAACAAUUUAAGUGAGAGAUCUGUUGUACCACAUUACACUUCACGACGCAUUGUAUUCUUGCAAUCACUAAGAAAGUAGAUUUUAAGUGUUCUCAAAUGACACCAAAGCCUGUUAAGCCUGUGAGGGAAUAGAUAUGUUAAUUAGCUCGAUUUAGCC